This 263-nucleotide long non-coding RNA is filed under the name Nicotiana benthamiana. RNAcentral's name for it is "long non-coding RNA (NBEN_LNC016239)". The record is from RNAcentral. Lineage: Eukaryota; Viridiplantae; Streptophyta; Magnoliopsida; Solanales; Solanaceae.
AUCUAAAUUAUCACCUUGAGUACCCCUGAAUUCCGUCCACGAUUUAAGAGCAGUUAAGCCAGCAACUCUUUUAGACGACUGUGAUGUAGACGAAGUAGGGGUUGGAAUAUUAGGCCUAGCAUGCUCUAACGCCUGUUUAUAAGCAAUAUAAACAGUUUGAGCAUUUACUCUAAUUGAUGCUUUCGCAUCAGCUAGUGUAGCAAUUUCUACUUCUGAAAGAUCUAAAGAUUGAUAAAUAGUAGAAUACCAAAAGUGAGGACCUC